AUAUGCUUGUCUCAAAGAUUAAGCCAUGCAUGUCUCAGUACAAGCCAAAUUAAGGUGAAACCGCGAAAGGCUCAUUAAAUCAGUUAUGGUUCAUUAGAUUGUACGCAAAGUUACUUGGAUAACUGUGGUAAUUCUAGAGCUAAUACAUGCAUACAGAGCUCCGACCAGGGAUGGGAGGAGUGCUUUUAUUAGAUCAAAACCAAUCGGCGGCAGUGCACCGUCCUCGCGGCGAUGUAUCUGUUCGUCGCCCUACAUGGUGAUUCUGAAUAACUUUUUGCUGAUCGCACGGUCACCCGCACCGGCGACGAAUCUUUCAAAUGUCUGCCUUAUCAACUUUCGAUGGUAGGUUCUGCGCCUACCACGGUUGUAACGGGUAACGGGGAAUCAGGGUUCGAUUCCGGAGAAGGAGCCUGAGAAACGGCUACCACAUCCAAGGAAGGCAGCAGGCGCGCAAAUUACCCACUCCCGGCACGGGGAGGUAGUGACGAAAAAUAACGAUACGGGACUCAUCCGAGGCCCCGUAAUCGGAAUGAGUACACUUUAAAUCCUUUAACAAGGACCAAUUGGAGGGUAAGUCUGGUGCCAGCAGCCGCGGUAAUUCCAGCUCCAAUAGCGUAUAUUAAAGUUGUUGCGGUUAAAAAGCUCGUAGUUGAAUUUGUGUCUCGUGCUGUCGGUACACCGCCCGCGGUGCCAACUGGCAUGCUCACGAGACGUCCUGCCGGUGGGUGGUUUUGUAAAACCGUUCGCAGUGCGCCCCGGACGCACGCCACGUGCACGCGAAUGCAAAUUCAAGUGUGUGUGCGCGCUGUGCACUGGUUGGCCGCUGUGCGUGGUCCACCCGACUUGUCGUCGCGCCUAACAACGGGGCGGCAAGAAUCCUAUCGCGGUGCUCUUAACUGAGUGUCGAGGUGGGCCGGCACGUUUACUUUGAACAAAUUAGAGUGCUUAAAGCAGGCUAAAAACGCGCCUGAAUAAUGUGUGCAUGGAAUAAUAGAACAGGACCUCGGUUCUAUUUUGUUGGUUUUCGGAACCGCCGAGGUAAUGAUUAAUAGGGACAGAUGGGGGCAUUCGUAUUGCGACGUUAGAGGUGAAAUUCUUGGAUCGUCGCAAGACGGACUGAAGCGAAAGCAUUUGCCAAAAAUGUUUUCAUUAAUCAAGAACGAAAGUCAGAGGUUCGAAGGCGAUCAGAUACCGCCCUAGUUCUGACCAUAAACGAUGCCAGCUAGCGAUCCGCCGAUGUUCCUCCGAUGACUCGGCGGGCAGCUUCCGGGAAACCAAAGCUUUUGGGUUCCGGGGGAAGUAUGGUUGCAAAGCUGAAACUUAAAGGAAUUGACGGAAGGGCACCACCAGGAGUGGAGCCUGCGGCUUAAUUUGACUCAACACGGGGAAACUUACCAGGUCCAGACACCGGAAGGAUUGACAGAUUGAGAGCUCUUUCUUAAUUCGGUGGGUGGUGGUGCAUGGUCGUUCUUAGUUGGUGGAUUGGUUUGUCUGCUUAAUUGCGAUAACGAGCGAGACUCUAGCCUACUAAAUAGGCGUACCUAACCGGUAUCUCGAAGGCUCACAAGUGCCGUACUCCAAACUGUCGGGCCCGGCCCGUUCAUUUGCGCUGUCGCUCUCGACUCCUCCCGCGGGUCUUGGGUGCACAGGCGGUGUUCGGUUCACCCGGCGGGCGGUAUCUUGUGGUUUUUACUACCGGCGUACACAUUUGAUCUUCUUAGAGGGACAGGCGGCUUCGAGCCGCACGAGAUUGAGCAAUAACAGAUCUGUGAUGCCCUUAGAUGUUCUGGGCCGCACGCGCGCUACACUGAAGGAAUCAACGUGUCUUCCCUGGCCGAAUGGCCCGGGUAACCCGCUGAACCUCCUUCGUGCUAGGGAUUGGGGCUUGCAAUUGUUCCCCAUGAACGAGGAAUUCCCAGUAAGCGUGAGUCAUCAGCUCACGUUGAUCGAGUCCCUGCCCUUUGUACACACCGCCCGUCGCUACUACCGAUUGAAUGAUUUAGUGAGGUCUUCGGACCGGUACUCGGCGGCGUUUCGACGUUGCCGUAGCCGCUGGGAAGAUGACCAAACUUGAUUAUUUAGAGGA
Molecule: ribosomal RNA, 2086 nt
Filed under: Opisthius richardsoni
Lineage: Eukaryota; Metazoa; Arthropoda; Insecta; Coleoptera; Carabidae
Description: SSU rRNA
Rfam family: Eukaryotic small subunit ribosomal RNA
Source: RNAcentral